AGGACUAUACUUUCUGGGAUGAUUCCUGUAGUUUGUUAUUAGAGAAGCUUCUCUGAUCGUGUGGAACACCGAAAAGGAGCCAGGGCUUCUACUCCUGAACAGGAAGCCAGUUCUCCAUGCUGCUUUUGCAACUGCUUUUACCACUGAUGACCAAUUGAUGAUCGUUUUCUUCCUUUGGGAGUGUGAGAGAAAGGGGAUGUAGUCUUCAGU
Molecule: small nucleolar RNA, 210 nt
Organism: Sorex araneus (European shrew)
Lineage: Eukaryota; Metazoa; Chordata; Mammalia; Eulipotyphla; Soricidae
Product: small nucleolar RNA U3
Exons: 1
Source: RefSeq, a predicted model, not a curated record